This 436-nucleotide ribosomal RNA is filed under the name uncultured Lachnospiraceae bacterium. Its description in RNAcentral is "partial 16S ribosomal RNA". It matches the Rfam family "Bacterial small subunit ribosomal RNA", at positions 341 to 792 of the family's 1533-position model. Lineage: Bacteria; Bacillati; Bacillota; Clostridia; Lachnospirales; Lachnospiraceae. The record is from RNAcentral.
ACGGAAGGCAGCAGUGGGGAAUAUUGCACAAUGGGGGAAACCCUGAUGCAGCAACGCCGCGUGAGUGAAGAAGUAUCUCGGUAUGUAAAGCUCUAUCAGCAGGGAAGAAAAAAGACGGUACCUGACUAAGAAGCACCGGCUAAAUACGUGCCAGCAGCCGCGGUAAUACGUAUGGUGCAAGCGUUAUCCGGAUUUACUGGGUGUAAAGGGAGCGCAGGCGGUCUUGCAAGCCAGAGGUGAAAACCCGGGGCUCAACCCCGCGGAUUGCCUUUGGAACUGUAGGACUUGAGUACUGGAGGGGCAGGCGGAAUUCCUGGUGUAGCGGUGAAAUGCGUAGAUAUCAGGAGGAACACCGGUGGCGAAGGCGGCCUGCUAGACAGAAACUGACGCUGAGGCUCGAAAGCGUGGGGAGCAAACAGGAUUAGAUACCCUGGUA